GAAAUAUGCUGUAAUUAUUUAUUUCAAUAUUUACAAACGAUUAUUGUUUUGGGAUCCCCAUUUCAUAAAAAGACAAAAGAACAUUCUGAAAGCCAUCACAUUAACAAUGCAAGAUCACAAAUUUGAUGACCAAAUAUGGAAGACUAGCAACUGGCAUCAAACUAAAGCUUAUUUAAAGAGAUAAAUGAGAUCUAGAGACCAAAUAAUUUGUGCGGACUGCUAGCCAGGUAACUAAAACUCAAAGGAGAGAGAAACUGGGUAAAAUGAAUCUCUGCCUGAAGAAAAGCAAUAGAUGGG
RNAcentral lists this unclassified non-coding RNA (297 nucleotides) under Hevea brasiliensis (rubber tree). Lineage: Eukaryota; Viridiplantae; Streptophyta; Magnoliopsida; Malpighiales; Euphorbiaceae. The record is from RNAcentral.